Molecule: long non-coding RNA, 854 nt
Organism: Petromyzon marinus (sea lamprey)
Lineage: Eukaryota; Metazoa; Chordata; Hyperoartia; Petromyzontiformes; Petromyzontidae
Source: RefSeq, a predicted model, not a curated record
UAAUGUGAUCGCCACGUCACUUUAACGUCGCAUGUUUGAUGUAUGAAAGUCUAACUCCAAAGCACGAUGUACAUUGGCAUUGGUCAAUGAUGCUUCAACAUACUUACUGGAUAAAAAAAUAACAAAAUUGAGUUUCCAUGAGCUGAUUAUUAUUGUAAUAGCCCUUUACCUGAUAACAAAAAAGUGUCCGUUGAAAGUCGGGUGUUUUGCGCAAUUACCAAUGCAUAAUCAGAUAAUGUCCUCGCUGUGUGUUCUGAGGCAAUACUGUGCGCUUGCACUGUCUUUGCAAACUCGAGCACGCGGCUCCUUUAGGUUAUUUACAUUGUCAAGAGAACAAUAGGACUCCGCCCCCUAGCCCUCAACGUUUUCAGCCUCCCUUCCCUGAUGGCAGGGCAUUUGCGGCUCAGCGUUGACACCGAAAAAUAUGAACGCAGGUUUUCUCAGCGGUCUGCCAGGAUUUCAAAGGCUCUGCGUUUCAUAAUUGGAACAGAAUAUCCCGUAAAGUGAUUUCCUGCCGUGAGGUGACAUCAGAGGACCGAAUCUGUGAAUCCGACGAACCAAAAGGGAAUUGCGUCGAACCAAUCAACGAGACACGUGGCAUAUGCAGAGGUCCGCAGACGACAGCGUGCCCUCCAGGCAAGGGGCACUUUAAGCCAGCAGAUUAUUCCCAAAAUCUAAAAAUCACAUAAGUAUGUGAUUUCACACUCAGUCUGUAUAAUAUAUCGUGUGUGUACAGUGUAUGGUUAUACAUUUUAAGACUGUUUACUUUUUUAACAGGUGCUUUUAAAUUCAAGUUUCAAGUUUCAUUUACUAGGUAUAGCCCUGUGAGCCAUGCGGCUCUUAAGUCGGGUGCA